GACGAACGCUGGCGGCGUGCCUAAUACAUGCAAGUUGAGCGCUGAAGGUUGGUUCUUGUACCCACUGGAUGAGCAGCGAACGGGUGAGUAACGCGUGGGUAAUCUGCCUUUGAGCGGGGGACAACAUCUGGAAACGAAUGCUAAUACCGCAUAAAAACUUUAAACACAAGUUUUAAGUUUGAAAGGUGCAAUUGCAUCACUCAAAGAUGAUCCCGCGUUGUAUUAGGUAGUUGGUGAGGUAAAGGCUCACCAAGGCGACGAUACAUAGCCGACCUGAGAGGGUGGUCGGCCACAAUGGGAAUGAGACCCGGCCCAAACUCCUACGGGAGGCAGCAGUAGGGGAUCUUCGGCAAUAGACGGAAGUCUGACCGAGCAACGCCGCGGGCGUGAAGAAGGUUUUCGGCACGUGAAACUCUGUUUGUGGAGAAGAACGUUGGUGAGAGUGGAAAGCUCAUCAAGUGACGGUAACUACCCAGAAAGGGACGGCUAACUACGUG
RNAcentral lists this ribosomal RNA (497 nucleotides) under uncultured bacterium. RNAcentral's name for it is "partial 16S ribosomal RNA". It matches the Rfam family "Bacterial small subunit ribosomal RNA", at positions 28 to 507 of the family's 1533-position model. The record is from RNAcentral.